GCAAACUUGGUCAUUUAGAGGAAGUAAAAGUCGUAACAAGGUUUCCGUAGGUGAACCUGCGGAAGGAUCAUUAAUGAAUUCACUCUUGGAGCUGUUGCUGGCCUCUAGGGCAUGUGCACGCUUCAAAAGUCCAUUCUCAACCACCUGUGCACCUUUUGUAGACUGUGAAAGUCAUUUUCUCAUGUCUGUGUUCAGACUUGGUUGCCGGGAGUCAAUGAACUCUUGGUUGACUUUUCACAGUCUAUGCAUUUAUUACACUCUCAUUGUAUGUCUAUGAAUGUUUAUUUAUUGGGCCUUGUGCCUAUAAAUCUAAUACAACUUUCAACAACGGAUCUCUUGGCUCUCGCAUCGAUGAAGAACGCAGC
Molecule: unclassified non-coding RNA, 365 nt
Filed under: uncultured fungus
Lineage: Eukaryota; Fungi
Description: partial contains small subunit ribosomal RNA, internal transcribed spacer 1, and 5.8S ribosomal RNA
Rfam family: Eukaryotic small subunit ribosomal RNA (bases 1-73)
Source: RNAcentral